ACUCCUUCUCGGCUGCAAGGCGAAGAUCAAAGUUAGCAUCUGUUCUUAUCAACAUAACCUUUUGUAUUUAACCUAUAUGGUCGCUGAAAGAUCAAUUCUAUUUUUGGAUAUUUGUGAUUCAUAAAAGCUUGCUUAGUGAUAGCCUUGGGUCAGACCGGCGUUGCACUUUCGCCCAGUCCUAUUGACG
Molecule: small nuclear RNA, 187 nt
Filed under: Soboliphyme baturini
Lineage: Eukaryota; Metazoa; Nematoda; Enoplea; Dioctophymatida; Soboliphymatidae
Description: U2 spliceosomal RNA
Rfam family: U2 spliceosomal RNA
About the family: U2 is a small nuclear RNA (snRNA) component of the spliceosome (involved in pre-mRNA splicing). Complementary binding between U2 snRNA (in an area lying towards the 5' end but 3' to hairpin I) and the branchpoint sequence (BPS) of the intron results the bulging out of an unpaired adenosine, on the BPS, which initiates a nucleophilic attack at the intronic 5' splice site, thus starting the first of two transesterification reactions that mediate splicing.
Source: Rfam by way of RNAcentral